GACAGAGGGUGCAAACGUUGUUCGGAAUUACUGGGCGUAAAGCGCGUGUAGGCGGCUUGGCAAGUCGGGUGUGAAAGCCCUGGGCUCAACCCAGGAAGUGCACUCGAAACUGCUUCGCUUGAGUGUCGGAGAGGAAAGCGGAAUUCUCGGUGUAGAGGUGAAAUUCGUAGAUAUCGAGAGGAACACCGGUGGCGAAGGCGGCUUUCUGGACGAUUACUGACGCUGAGACGCGAAAGCGUGGGGAGCAAACAGG
RNAcentral lists this ribosomal RNA (253 nucleotides) under uncultured bacterium. Its description in RNAcentral is "partial 16S ribosomal RNA". It matches the Rfam family "Bacterial small subunit ribosomal RNA", at positions 524 to 776 of the family's 1533-position model. The record is from RNAcentral.